Molecule: ribosomal RNA, 496 nt
Filed under: uncultured bacterium
Lineage: Bacteria
Description: partial 16S ribosomal RNA
Rfam family: Bacterial small subunit ribosomal RNA
Source: RNAcentral
AUGAACGCUGGCGGCGUGCCUAAUACAUGCAAGUCGAGCGAACAGACGAGGAGCUUGCUCCUCUGACGUUAGCGGCGGACGGGUGAGUAACACGUGGAUAACCUACCUAUAAGACUGGGAUAACUUCGGGAAACCGGGGCUAAUACCGGAUAAUAUAUUUAACCGCAUGGUUCAAUAGUGAAAGACGGUUUUGCUGUCACUUAUAGAUGGAUCCGCGCCGCAUUAGCUAGUUGGUAAGGUAACGGCUUACCAAGGCGACGAUGCGUAGCCGACCUGAGAGGGUGAUCGGCCACACUGGAACUGAGACACGGUCCAGACUCCUACGGGAGGCCGCAGUAGGGAAUCUUCCGCAAUGGGCGAAAGCUUGACGGAGCAACGCCGCGUGAGUGAUGAAGGUCUUCGGAUCGUAAAACUCUGUUAUUAGGGAAGAACAAAUGUGUAAGUAACUAUGCACGUCUUGACGGUACCUAAUCAGAAAGCCACGGCUAACUACGUG